GCGCAGGAUCUCACGCGGUGCUUAUCUUGUGAACUCCCCCAGGGCGGGAACGCAGCAAGGGUCAGCGAGCUCUGGCAGGUGCGUGAGGUCCCUUUAUUUUGCGCGUAC
RNAcentral lists this signal recognition particle RNA (108 nucleotides) under Corynebacterium genitalium ATCC 33030. RNAcentral's name for it is "Bacterial signal recognition particle RNA". The stretch from base 2 to 98 matches the Rfam family "Bacterial small signal recognition particle RNA". From Rfam's summary of the family: The signal recognition particle (SRP) is a universally conserved ribonucleoprotein involved in the co-translational targeting of proteins to membranes. The record is from RNAcentral. Lineage: Bacteria; Bacillati; Actinomycetota; Actinomycetes; Mycobacteriales; Corynebacteriaceae.